GAGAGCCGGAUGCGUGGAGACACGCACGUCCGGUUCGGGUCGGCGGCUCGGGGAAACGGAACGACGGCAACGUCGUCACCGCGCCCCGAGCCGAC
Non-coding RNA from Streptomyces sp., 95 nucleotides. The record is from Rfam. NCBI's taxonomy places the organism in Bacteria, Bacillati, Actinomycetota, Actinomycetes, Kitasatosporales, Streptomycetaceae.